CAGCCGCCACGGUAAUACGUAUGGUGCAAGCGUUAAUCGGAAUUACUGGGCGUAAAGCGUGCGCAGGCGGUUAUAUAAGACAGAUGUGAAAUCCCCGGGCUCAACCUGGGAACUGCAUUUGUGACUGUAUAGCUAGAGUACGGCAGAGGGGGAUGGAAUUCCGCGUGUAGCAGUGAAAUGCGUAGAUAUGCGGAGGAACACCGAUGGCGAAGGCAAUCCCCUGGGCCUGUACUGACGCUCAUGCACGAAAGCGUGGGGAGCAAACAGGAUUAGAUACCCCCGUAGUCCCUGUCUCUUAUAC
This 301-nucleotide ribosomal RNA is filed under the name uncultured bacterium. Its description in RNAcentral is "partial 16S ribosomal RNA". It matches the Rfam family "Bacterial small subunit ribosomal RNA", at positions 509 to 807 of the family's 1533-position model. The record is from RNAcentral.